GGCCAGGGUGGUGCUCAACUCAAAGAUGAAGAUGCAUUGUUUUCUAGAGCAAUUUACUACACCUCAGAACAAGGUGGUGCUCAACUCAAAGGUCUCAGAAAGAGAACUGGAUGAAGACAUAAUCAUAUCUGAAAGUGAAGACGAAGGAGUAACCCACAUAUUGUAAUUGAACCAGCUGUGCAUCGUUAGCCG
Archocentrus centrarchus (flier cichlid) is the source of this 192-nucleotide long non-coding RNA. RefSeq lists it as uncharacterized. The record is from RefSeq and is a predicted model, not a curated record. The transcript has 3 exons. Lineage: Eukaryota; Metazoa; Chordata; Actinopteri; Cichliformes; Cichlidae.